This 985-nucleotide long non-coding RNA is filed under the name Homo sapiens (human). RNAcentral describes it as "HSALNT0304910". Lineage: Eukaryota; Metazoa; Chordata; Mammalia; Primates; Hominidae. The record is from RNAcentral.
GGAGACAUCUGGCCAUUGGUACUCAUUUCUGUUCUGGGUCGAAGGGACCUCACCUUCUUUUCCACCAGCCAUGAGACAGGAAGGCCUCAACUGGUAUCCCUGAAAGGGGGAGAGUUGGACUCUUGCCACAAGUCAGGUGAAGGCAUUCUCAUCUCCUCAGAGGCUUCAGAGCUUCUCCAUUUCAUAGACAACCAGGGCCCAGUGCACGUGAUCCAGAAAUAUCUUGAGCACCCUCUGCUGCUUGAGCCAGGUCAUCGCAAGUUUGACAUUCGAUAAAGAAAUGGGGGCUCAGAGCAGUCAAGAACAUGCCCCAAGUUAUUCGUCAGUGAGGCAGAAAUUGUGGUGUCCUUGUGUAAGUUCACAGUUUAUACUUUACCAUUAUACUGUGCUCCAAAUUAUCUGAUAUUUACUUUCAAAGCAUGUGUAGGAAGUUUACUAUGAUGAUGCAGAGACAUUGUACAGAAUCCAGUCCCUUGACUCUCAGGUCCCCAGAACACUCACUUCACGAUUUUGUUGACCUCUUAUGUCAACUUAAACCUGGCACUCUCUUGGCUUUCUCUGCUCUUUCUGGGCACUCCAAAGCUUCUGUACUUACAUGCUACAACUCCAGUCACAGGAAGAUGCUGAGUUCUUUAGUCCCAGAUCCAUAUUCCUGAGAAAACCUAAUUGCCUAGGCUCAGGUCAUAACUCUGUGUCUGUUUCAGUUGAUUAUGGCUGGGCCUACUGCCCCUCUGUAUGGUGGUGGGGCAGAAGUUCCCAGAGAGAGGCAGGGGUGACAGAGACUGUUGUCUCAAAUGCUAGGCAGACAUCUGGAGUGGUAACCACUACAUCUGUUCACAGUGAGCACAUCCUUGCAGGGAAACUGGGUUAAUCAUCUCUAUUAUUGAAACUCAGAGGUAUAGUGUUUCUUCAUAGGAAUUUUCUUUCCUUAUUUGAGAUGGGGGUCUCACUUUGUUGCCCAGGCUGGAGUGCAGUGGUGUGUGAU